RNAcentral lists this ribosomal RNA (676 nucleotides) under uncultured bacterium. RNAcentral's name for it is "bacterial SSU rRNA". It matches the Rfam family "Bacterial small subunit ribosomal RNA", at positions 56 to 727 of the family's 1533-position model. The record is from RNAcentral.
UGCAAGUCGAGCGGGGAGAUGUAGCUUGCUACAUUUCCUAGCGGCGGACGGGUGAGUAAUGCUUAGGAAUCUGCCUAUUAGUGGGGGACAACAUUCCGAAAGGAAUGCUAAUACCGCAUACGUCCUACGGGAGAAAGCAGGGGAUCUUCGGACCUUGCGCUAAUAGAUGAGCCUAAGUCAGAUUAGCUAGUUGGUGGGGUAAAGGCCUACCAAGGCGACGAUCUGUAGCGGGUCUGAGAGGAUGAUCCGCCACACUGGGACUGAGACACGGCCCAGACUCCUACGGGAGGCAGCAGUGGGGAAUUUUGGACAAUGGGCGAAAGCCUGAUCCAGCAAUGCCGCGUGCAGGAUGAAGGCCUUCGGGUUGUAAACUGCUUUUGUACGGAACGAAAAAGCUCCUUCUAAUACAGGGGGCCCAUGACGGUACCGUAAGAAUAAGCACCGGCUAACUACGUGCCAGCAGCCGCGGUAGUACGUAGGGUGCGAGCGUUAAUCGGAAUUACUGGGCGUAAAGCGUGCGCAGGCGGUUAUGUAAGACAGAUGUGAAAUCCCCGGGCUCAACCUGGGAACUGCAUUUGUGACUGCAUGGCUAGAGUACGGUAGAGGGGGAUGGAAUUCCGCGUGUAGCAGUGAAAUGCGUAGAUAUGCGGAGGAACACCGAUGGCGAAAGCAAUCC